Molecule: ribosomal RNA, 301 nt
Filed under: uncultured bacterium
Lineage: Bacteria
Description: partial 16S ribosomal RNA
Rfam family: Bacterial small subunit ribosomal RNA
Source: RNAcentral
CAGCCGCCGCGGUAACACGGAGGGUGCAAGCGUUAAUCGGAAUUACUGGGCGUAAAGCGCACGCAGGCGGUUUGUUAAGUCAGAUGUGAAAUCCCCGAGCUUAACUUGGGAACUGCAUUUGAAACUGGCAAGCUAGAGUCUUGUAGAGGGGGGUAGAAUUCCAGGUGUAGCGGUGAAAUGCGUAGAGAUCUGGAGGAAUACCGGUGGCGAAGGCGGCCCCCUGGACAAAGACUGACGCUCAGGUGCGAAAGCGUGGGGAGCAAACAGGAUUAGAUACCCGCGUAGUCCCUGUCUCUUAUAC